ACUAAACAGGAUUCUCUUAGUAACGGCGAGUGAAAAGAGAUUAGCCCAACAUCGAAGCCACCAUGCAUUUGUGUGGAAGGCAAUGUGAUGUUAAGGUGUUCAAUUUUGCUGACUGACCGACUUGAAGUCCAUAUUUGACUGUGGCUUGUGCGUAUGCACCCAGAGAUGGUGAAAGGCCCGUUCAGGUUGGUAUUCAGACAUGACAGUCUUGCAUAAAGUUGUCCACUUUGGAGUCGGAUUGCUUGAGAGUGCAGUCCAAAAUUGGUGGUAAACUCCAUCUAAGGCUAAAUACCUGUACGAGUCCGAUAGUCGACAAGUACCGUGAGGGAAAGUUGAAAAGUACUCUGAAGAGAGAGUAAAUAGUACGUGAAACUACGUGGAGGUUAAACGGAUAGAGUCAAGCUGCGU
This 408-nucleotide ribosomal RNA is filed under the name Allobenedenia epinepheli. RNAcentral describes it as "eukaryotic LSU rRNA". It matches the Rfam family "Eukaryotic large subunit ribosomal RNA", at positions 64 to 439 of the family's 3401-position model. The record is from RNAcentral. Lineage: Eukaryota; Metazoa; Platyhelminthes; Monogenea; Capsalidea; Capsalidae.